AGUCGCUGGGAGCACUCGCUAAACCCGGAGGCGCAGUGAAAGCGGGGCGCGGUCCUUAGUGGGCCGCCGUUGGGAGGAUGUCGUGCGGAGAUCCCGCGCGGCCGCACUCCCGGGGCGCCUCGGCUCCGGCCGCAGGCGCACCCCGAGCGCACACGUUGGGACCCGAAAGAUGGUGAACUAUGCCUGGUCAGGACGAAGUCAGGGGAAACCCUGAUGGAGGUCCGCAGCGAUUCUGACGUGCAAAUCGAUCGUCAGAGCUGGGUAUAGGGGCGAAAGACUAAUCGAACCAUCUAGUAGCUGGUUCCCUCCGAAGUUUCCCUCAGGAUAGCUGGCGCCCAUUUGGAAUGGGACGAGUCUCAUCCGGUAAAGCGAAUGAUUAGAGGCCUUGGGGCCGAAACGACCUCAACCUAUUCUCAAACUUUAAAUGGGUGAGAUCUCCGGCUUGCUCGACUGAAGCCGCGAGAGUACCGGAUCAGGGUGCCAAGUGGGCCAUUUUUGGUAAGCAGAACUGGCGCUGUGGGAUGAA
Molecule: ribosomal RNA, 526 nt
Filed under: Opisthoplatia orientalis
Lineage: Eukaryota; Metazoa; Arthropoda; Insecta; Blattodea; Blaberidae
Description: eukaryotic LSU rRNA
Rfam family: Eukaryotic large subunit ribosomal RNA
Source: RNAcentral